RNAcentral lists this ribosomal RNA (275 nucleotides) under uncultured bacterium. Its description in RNAcentral is "partial 16S ribosomal RNA". It matches the Rfam family "Bacterial small subunit ribosomal RNA", at positions 338 to 605 of the family's 1533-position model. The record is from RNAcentral.
CCUACGGGUGGCUGCAGUGGGGAAUUUUGGACAAUGGGGGCAACCCUGAUCCAGCCAUGCCGCGUGAGUGAAGAAGGCCUUCGGGUUGUAAAGCUCUUUCGGUGGGAACGAAACGGGUGCGGUGAAUAUCCGCGCUCACUGACGGUACUCACAGAAGAAGCACCGGCUAACUACGUGCCAGCAGCCGCGGUAAUACGUAGGGUGCGAGCGUUAAUCGGAAUUACUGGGCGUAAAGCGUGCGCAGGCGGUCUGCCAAGCUCGAUGUGAAAUCCCCG